Molecule: long non-coding RNA, 656 nt
Organism: Astyanax mexicanus (Mexican tetra)
Lineage: Eukaryota; Metazoa; Chordata; Actinopteri; Characiformes; Acestrorhamphidae
Exons: 3
Source: RefSeq, a predicted model, not a curated record
ACCACCCUGAUAGCAGACUACUCCGAUCCGGAUCCGUUUUACCUCCGGCAGAUCCGCGCUACAGUCAGGUCUGUUUAGUGGAUCUGGUCCGGCUUCACUCCGGGUUCGGGUUAUGAUUGUGACUCACGUUCAGAUCCGUUUUACUGACGGUAAAUCCGCAUAACAGCCCGUCUCAUUUCACGCCUUCCAUAUGACUUCGGCACGGAGUCAGAUACCAGAUGUGAGUUCAGUGUCAGUUCAGUGUCGUUUUGCGGAUCCGGGCCGCAUCGGCGGAGCGGCACAGGAGCGGGAGAAAUUCAAACUCAGCGCGAGGACCAACUGACAUCUGCUGAAUCUGCGCUUCAGGGCUGCUGAGGGCUGGGGACCUGAGAUAAGCAGGAUUUGGUAUCCGCAAAAUGGUUCGAGGUCCUCAGCCCUCGCCUCCCCCAGCACAGAGGAAAACUACCAAGGGCGGUACUCUCAUUAUAGGAGAUUCAAUUGUUAGACAUUUAAAAGUAUCUAAGAGUAAUGGCACAAUUUCAUGUCUUCCAGAUGCUUGCAUGCUGGUAGUCGGCAAGCGGCUCCCUGGGGCGCAUUGCCAAAGCAGGAACCCCGGCACCAUCGCCCUCCACGUGGGGAUGAGCUUUCGGGAGCGACCGGCCCCGUUCCACAGAGAC